UUAACUGAAACCAAAAAGAGGUAUAUUACUGUUAAUAAUACAAUUGAAGCUAAUUCCAGUUAAA
Molecule: transfer RNA, 64 nt
Filed under: Anaplecta sp. 4 ZQW-2020
Lineage: Eukaryota; Metazoa; Arthropoda; Insecta; Blattodea; Anaplectidae
Description: tRNA-Asn
Source: RNAcentral